Mus musculus (house mouse) is the source of this 64-nucleotide non-coding RNA. NCBI's taxonomy places the organism in Eukaryota, Metazoa, Chordata, Mammalia, Rodentia, Muridae. The record is from Rfam.
GUCACCGAAUGAUCUGCUCUGGUCAAAUCCUUCUAUGCCAGCCAGGGUGGUGAUGACCCGUGAC